This 1029-nucleotide ribosomal RNA is filed under the name Lodderomyces parapsilosis. Its description in RNAcentral is "SSU rRNA". It matches the Rfam family "Eukaryotic small subunit ribosomal RNA", at positions 50 to 1096 of the family's 1831-position model. Lineage: Eukaryota; Fungi; Ascomycota; Pichiomycetes; Serinales; Debaryomycetaceae. The record is from RNAcentral.
CAUGCAUGUCUAAGUAUAAGCAAUUAUACACGUGAAACUGCGAAUGCGCUCAUUAAAUCAGUUAUCGUUUAUUUGAUAGUACCUUACUACUUGGAUAACCGUGGUAAUUCUAGAGCUAAUACAUGCUUAAAAUCCCGACUGUUUGGAAGGGAUGUAUUUAUUAGAUAAAAAAUCAAUGCCUUCGGGCUCUUUGAUGAUUCAUAAUAACUUUUCGAAUCGCAUGGCCUUGUGCUGGCGAUGGUUCAUUCAAAUUUCUGCCCUAUCAACUUUCGAUGGUAGGAUAGUGGCCUACCAUGGUUUCAACGGGUAACGGGGAAUAAGGGUUCGAUUCCGGAGAGGGAGCCUGAGAAACGGCUACCACAUCCAAGGAAGGCAGCAGGCGCGCAAAUUACCCAAUCCCGACACGGGGAGGUAGUGACAAUAAAUAACGAUACAGGGCCCUUUCGGGUCUUUGUAAUUGGAAUGGAGUACAAUGUAAAUACCUUAACGAGGAACAAUUGGAGGGCAAGUCUGGGUGCCAGCAGCCGCGGUAAUUCCAGCUCCAAAAGCGUAUAUUAAAGUUGUUGCAGUUAAAAAGCUCCGUAGUUGAACCUUGGGCUUGGCUGGCCGGUCCAUCUUUUUUGAUGCGUACUGGACCCAGCCGAGCCUUUCCUUCUGGCUAGCCUUUUUGGCGAACCAGGACUUUUACUUUGAAAAAAUUAGAGUGUUCAAAGCAGGCCUUUGCUCGAAUAUAUUAGCAUGGAAUAAUAGAAUAGGACGUUAUGGUUCUAUUUUGUUGGUUUCUAGGACCAUCGUAAUGAUUAAUAGGGACGGUCGGGGGUAUCAGUAUUCAGUAGUCAGAGGUGAAAUUCUUGGAUUUACUGAAGACUAACUACUGCGAAAGCAUUUACCAAGGACGUUUUCAUUAAUCAAGAACGAAAGUUAGGGGAUCGAAGAUGAUCAGAUACCGUCGUAGUCUUAACCAUAAACUAUGCGCGACUAGGGAUCGGUUGUUGUUCUUUUAUUGACGCAAUCGGCACCUUACGAGAA